GAUGAACGCUGACAGAAUGCUUAACACAUGCAAGUCGAUGGGGAAGUGGUGCUUGCACCAUGGCAACCAUGGCGGACGGGUGAGUAACGCGUAAGGGACUUACCUGCAGGACUGGGAUAACAGGGGGAAACUCCUGACAAGACCGGAUAAUGUCAUGGAGCUGCAUGGCUUUAUGAUGAAAGGAGACGCCUGCGGAGAGCCUUGCGUCCUAUUAGCUAGUUGGUGAGGUAAUGGCUCACCAAGGCGAAGAUAGGUAGCCGGCCUGAGAGGGUGGACGGCCACAAGGGGACUGAGAUACGGCCCUUACUCCUACGGGAGGCAGCAGUGGGGAAUAUUGGACAAUGGGGGCAACCCUGAUCCAGAAAUUCUGUGUGCACGAAGAAGGUUUGCGGAUUGUAAAGUGCUUUCAGCAGGGAAGAAGUAAGUGACGGUACCUGCAGAAGAAGCGACGGCUAAAUACGUG
RNAcentral lists this ribosomal RNA (463 nucleotides) under uncultured bacterium. RNAcentral describes it as "partial 16S ribosomal RNA". It matches the Rfam family "Bacterial small subunit ribosomal RNA", at positions 28 to 507 of the family's 1533-position model. The record is from RNAcentral.